This 344-nucleotide ribosomal RNA is filed under the name uncultured bacterium. RNAcentral's name for it is "bacterial SSU rRNA". It matches the Rfam family "Bacterial small subunit ribosomal RNA", at positions 8 to 334 of the family's 1533-position model. The record is from RNAcentral.
AGGGUUUGAUUAUGGCUCAGGAUGAACGCUGGCGGCGUGCUUAACACAUGCAAGUCGAACGAAGCACUUUAUUUGAUUUCUUCGGAAUGAAGAUUUUGUGACUGAGUGGCGGACGGGUGAGUAACGCGUGGGUAACCUGCCUCAUACAGGGGGAUAACAGUUGGAAACGACUGCUAAUACCGCAUAAGCGCACAGGGUCGCAUGACCUGGUGUGAAAAACUCCGGUGGUAUGAGAUGGACCCGCGUCUGAUUAGCCAGUUGGUGGGGUAACGGCCUACCAAAGCGACGAUCAGUAGCCGACCUGAGAGGGUGACCGGCCACAUUGGGACUGAGACACGGCCCAA